AUUGAACGCUGGCGGCAGGCCUAACACAUGCAAGUCGAACGAGUGGCGGACGGGUGAGUAAUGUCUGGGAAACUGCCUGAUGGAGGGGGAUAACUACUGGAAACGGUAGCUAAUACCGCAUACCAUCAGAUGUGCCCCGAUGGGAUUAGCUAGUUGGUGGGUUAACGGCUCACCAAGGCGACGAUCCCUAGCUGGUCUGAGCGGAUGACCAUCAACACGUGAACUGAGAAACGGUCCAGACUCCUACGGGAGGAAGCAGGGGGGAAUAUUGCACAAUGGGCGCAAGCCUGAUGCAGCCAGGCCGCGUGGAUGAAGAAGGCCUUCGGGUUGUAAAGUACUUUCAGCGGGGAGGCGUUACCCGCAGAAGAAGCACCGGCUAACUCCGUGCCAGCAGCCGCGGUAAUAC
This 406-nucleotide ribosomal RNA is filed under the name uncultured bacterium. Its description in RNAcentral is "partial 16S ribosomal RNA". It matches the Rfam family "Bacterial small subunit ribosomal RNA", at positions 30 to 526 of the family's 1533-position model. The record is from RNAcentral.